GACGAACGCUGGCGGCGUGCUUAACACAUGCAAGUCGAACGGAAGGACCGUACGUUCUUGGGGUUACGGGUGGGGAAAGGGGGAAGGAACAGGUAAGUAACCGGCCCUUGAUUUUGGGAUAACUUAAGGAAGCGGGGCUUAAUACCGUAUAGCAGCCCCCCUUCCAGGGUGGGGGUGGGAAAGUUUCGGCGGUCGGGGUUGGACUCGCGGCUUAUGGGCUUGUUGGUGGGGUAGUGGCUUACCAAGGCUUGGACGGGUAGCCGGCUUGAGAGGGUGACCGGCCACAUUGGGACUGAGAUACGGCCCAGACUCCUACGGGAGGCAGCAGUGGGGAAUAUUGCACAAUGGGCGGAAGCCUGAUGCAGCAACGCCGCGUGCGGGAUGACGGCCUUCGGGUUGUAAACCGCUUUCGCCUGUGACGAAGCGUGAGUGACGGUAAUGGGUAAAGAAGCACCGGCUAACUACGUG
This 468-nucleotide ribosomal RNA is filed under the name uncultured bacterium. RNAcentral describes it as "partial 16S ribosomal RNA". It matches the Rfam family "Bacterial small subunit ribosomal RNA", at positions 28 to 507 of the family's 1533-position model. The record is from RNAcentral.